This 94-nucleotide non-coding RNA is filed under the name unclassified sequences. RNAcentral's name for it is "L4-Archaeoglobi ribosomal protein leader". It matches the Rfam family "L4-Archaeoglobi ribosomal protein leades". The record is from RNAcentral.
CUGACGACGGCGCAUGGGUGGAGAUAGGUGUUGAGCGCCCAUUGCCCCUCAGGACCGAAAAGCGGUUUCGGUUGGGGCAGCGCCUGAACGUCAG